This is a long non-coding RNA of Oncorhynchus tshawytscha (Chinook salmon), 283 nucleotides long. NCBI's taxonomy places the organism in Eukaryota, Metazoa, Chordata, Actinopteri, Salmoniformes, Salmonidae. The record is from Ensembl.
GAAGGAGACAACAGAUCUGGGGUCAGGCUAUAGAAGGAGACAACAGAUCUGGGGUCAGGCUAUAGAAGGAGACAACAGAUCUGGGGUCAGGCUAUAGAAGGAGACAACAGAUCUGGGGUCAGGCUAUAUAAGGAGACAACAGAUCUGGGGUCAGGCUAUAUAAGGAGAUAACAGAUCUGGGGUCAGGCUAUAGAAGGAGACAACAGAUCUGGGGUCAGGCUAUAGAAGGAGACAACAGAUCUGGGGUCAGGCUAUAGAAGGAGACAACAGAUCUGGGGUCAGG